GGCUAUUGGGUUGGCCAUUCCUGCAUUUCUAAUGUUCCUUUCUUGUGUUCUCUUCUUUUUGGGAACAAAAAUUUAUGUUAUAGUGAAACCUCAGGGUAGUCCUUUAACCAGUGUAGCUCAAGUACUUGUGGCUUCUGUAAAGAAGAGAGGGCUGAAGCUUCCUGAAAAUCCAGCUUUUGCUCUUUUCAACUAUUUUCCUCCUAAAUUUACCAACUCCAAGCUUCCUCAUACCAGUCAAUUUAGGUUCCUUGACAAGGCAGCAAUCAUUACCAGCGAAAACGAAAUAAACUCGGAUGGAUCAGCUACCAAUCCGUGGAGGCUCUGUAGCAUCCAAC
Molecule: unclassified non-coding RNA, 335 nt
Filed under: Hevea brasiliensis (rubber tree)
Lineage: Eukaryota; Viridiplantae; Streptophyta; Magnoliopsida; Malpighiales; Euphorbiaceae
Source: RNAcentral